RNAcentral lists this ribosomal RNA (221 nucleotides) under uncultured bacterium. RNAcentral describes it as "partial 16S ribosomal RNA". It matches the Rfam family "Bacterial small subunit ribosomal RNA", at positions 109 to 334 of the family's 1533-position model. The record is from RNAcentral.
GGUAAUGUCUGGGAAACUGCCCGAUGGAGGGGGAUAACUACUGGAAACGGUAGCUAAUACCGCAUAACGUCGCAAGACCAAAGAGGGGACCUUCGGGCCUCUUGCCAUCGGAUGUGCCCAGAUGGGAUUAGCUAGUAGGUGGGGUAACGGCUCACCUAGGCGACGAUCCCUAGCUGGUCUGAGAGGAUGACCAGCCACACUGGAACUGAGGCACGGUCCAG